RNAcentral lists this ribosomal RNA (254 nucleotides) under uncultured bacterium. RNAcentral's name for it is "partial 16S ribosomal RNA". It matches the Rfam family "Bacterial small subunit ribosomal RNA", at positions 524 to 776 of the family's 1533-position model. The record is from RNAcentral.
UACGUAGGGGGCAAGCGUUGUCCGGAUUCAUUGGGCGUAAAGAGCUCGUAGGCGGCUUGGCAAGUCGGGUGUGAAAACUCCAGGCUCAACCUGGAGACGCCACCCGAUACUGCCAUGGCUAGAGUCCGGUAGGGGACCACGGAAUACCUGGUGUAGCGGUGAAAUGCGCAGAUAUCAGGUGGAACACCGGUGGCGAAGGCGGUGGUCUGGGCCGGAACUGACGCUGAGGAGCGAAAGCGUGGGGAGCGAACAGG